This 425-nucleotide ribosomal RNA is filed under the name uncultured bacterium. Its description in RNAcentral is "partial 16S ribosomal RNA". It matches the Rfam family "Bacterial small subunit ribosomal RNA", at positions 354 to 796 of the family's 1533-position model. The record is from RNAcentral.
GUGGGGAAUCUUGCGCAAUGGGCGAAAGCCUGACGCAGCCAUGCCGCGUGAAUGAUGAAGGUCUUAGGAUUGUAAAAUUCUUUCACCGGGAACGAUAAUGACGGUACCCGGAGAAGAAGCCCCGGCUAACUUCGUGCCAGCAGCCGCGGUAAUACGAAGGGGGCUAGCGUUGCUCGGAAUUACUGGGCGUAAAGGGCGCGUAGGCGGACAGCUUAGUCAGAGGUGAAAGCCCAGGGCUCAACCUUGGAAUUGCCUUUGAUACUGGCUGUCUUGAGUUUGGGAGAGGUGAGUGGAACUCCGAGUGUAGAGGUGAAAUUCGUAGAUAUUCGGAAGAACACCAGUGGCGAAGGCGACUCACUGGCCCAAUACUGACGCUGAGGCGCGAAAGCGUGGGGAGCAAACAGGAUUAGAAACCCCGGUAGUCC